This 148-nucleotide non-coding RNA is filed under the name Pan troglodytes (chimpanzee). Lineage: Eukaryota; Metazoa; Chordata; Mammalia; Primates; Hominidae. The record is from Rfam by way of RNAcentral.
GCCGGGCGUGGUGGUGUGCGCCUGUAAUCCCAGCUACUCGGGAGGCUGAGGCAGGAGAAUCGCUUGAACCCGGGAGGCAGAGCUUGCAGUGAGCCGAGAUCGUGCCACCGCACUCCAGCCUGGGCAACAGAGCGAGACUCUGUCUCAA